UCUUCUAUCAGGCAGGAUGGUAUUACCCCACUGAAGUUGUUAUAUGACAGGUCAAGGAUUUGGAGGUUGCUUGAAUCACAAAUAGAAUGUGGUAUGUGCCCAUUUAUGUUAUUUCUGGACAUUUUGAGAUAAACAGUUUUGCUAAGAUAAGCAGUGAAGUUUGACAUAACAGAAGAGAAUCUAUUGUUUGAAUAAUCCAAGACUUGACUGAAACUGCUAUAUGCUGUCAACAGGUUUGGCAUCGGGAUCUGGCCUUCAAGUCUAUUGAAACUGAGAUCAAGAGAUUCCAAACGACUGUUAGGGAGAUCAUCUGAAGUGAGUUGCAUGUAUGUGAAUAUGUUGUGCGAAAGAUUCAAAACCAUAAGGCUAUCAUCCCAUGUCUCCCAUAUCCAUUUGGGUAUCGUCCCAGGUAUUUUGUUGCUCGAAAGGUCCAAUGCCUGGAUAUGAUUUACUUGCAUCAAGAAUCUAGGAAUUCUUGUCAUGUUGCAAGAUACAAGUUCUAAUCUAAAGAGUUUAGGGAGUAAGGGCACUGUGGGUUUACUGUCUUCUUCAUCCAAGACGGACAACCUGUUGUUUGAGAGACCCAAGUAACCAAGCUUUCUUAACUUCCAAGGUGAACUCGGUUGUACUAAACCUGUUAAAUUGUUUGAGCUAAGAUCCAGGGCCACCAAACUUUUGAGUUGAAAUAAUGAUGACGGAAUCUGUCCACUAAUCUGAUUUUCACGCAAAUAAACAACUGAUAGGUGUGAAUUUAGUGUAUCGAACUCUUCUACCGCUCCAGAAAGUUGGUUUGAUGAAAGGUCGAGCAGUAACAUUGCUGGAGAAGUGAAUAGAGAUGUUGGAAUAUCUCCUGCACAGAGAGUUAAAUAAAUGGUUAUACGUUGACAUCAUUUAGUGAAGACAAGGAACUGCAUAUUCUGUAGAACGAAAGUAUGAAUCCCCAAGCUUGGAGAGAUGUUACAUACAGAAAGGUUAAACAGAUCAAGGAAUCCUUGUUGUAGUUACUCCGUUCCUAAUAUAAAAAGUCAUAACUUUGUCCUAAAUCAAGCUUCUUCAAAUUUGACCAAAUUUAUAGAAAAAUAUAUUAAGACCUACAAUAUCAAAUGAGUAUAUUAUAAAUGAUAUAUAUGUAAUGACAGAUUUAAUAAAACUAGAUGUUGGUAGAAUUUUCUAUAAACUUGGUCGAACUUGAAGAAGUUUGACUUAGGACAAAGAUAAGACUUCAUAUAUUUAGGAACAAAGGUAGUACUAGUAUAUUAAGAACAUCCAACAUAAUCCGGUCGCCCAAGCUUGGAGAGAUGUUCCCUUCUCUUAACAAGAAAUUAUGGAAGCCAUUCAACACAUGAACAAGAAUGUAUGGGUUUAGGUCGGGCUUCUUCAAGAAAUUAUAGCUUCCGUCCUGCCCUCUUAGACUGGCUGGUUGCUCUUGCCACCAUGCCCUGAUUUUGUUUCCUCUUUUGCUGCCUUGCCCCCUGUAACCCUGCUUUGUAUUUGUUUUCUAUUUAUCAAUAUAUUAUAUAUUGUUGGAUUCUUUCCUACAGUUUUGCUUUAAAAAAAGGGCUACAAAGAAAAGAAAGAACUCAAAAUGAAACUAAGGAAGUUGGGUUAUGAAUUUACUCUUACCUCUAAGGCUAUUAUGUGCAAGAUCCACAUAAAUCAGCUGAGUCAAGUUGACAAGUGUUGUACUUGGUAUUGUGCCAGAAAUCCCACAGCCCCUUAAUACUAGUACCGUUAAUUUGCUGAGCUGUCCAAUAUCUCUUGUUAUAGGAGAUAAUGAGCCAAUAUAAGACAUUUCCAAGAUUCUUAGUUUUUUGAGAUUACCAAUUGAAGAUGGUAUUGCACCAGAGAAGCCACCACCGGAGAUUCUCAAGGAAGUCAAUUUGCU
Molecule: long non-coding RNA, 1885 nt
Filed under: Brachypodium distachyon (stiff brome)
Lineage: Eukaryota; Viridiplantae; Streptophyta; Magnoliopsida; Poales; Poaceae
Description: long non-coding RNA (BDIS_LNC002770)
Source: RNAcentral